Non-coding RNA from Jatropha curcas, 509 nucleotides. The record is from RefSeq and is a predicted model, not a curated record. Lineage: Eukaryota; Viridiplantae; Streptophyta; Magnoliopsida; Malpighiales; Euphorbiaceae.
CUGUGGGGAUUGUCAUUCUUUUAUGAAGCUUGCAUCAAGCAUUACAAAGAGGGACAUUAUUGUUAGGGAUGUAAACAGAUUUCAUCAUUUUAAGGAUGGAUGUUGUUCUUGUAGGGAGUUCUGGUGAAUGCUAGUAAGUAACUCGGUCAUGGCGGUUGUCAAUCAAACUAAACAUUGUUGAUUGACUGUCCAAGCUCUUUGUAAAAAUUCGGGAUUGAGAACAAAUUUCAGCAAUCACCAUCUCAUUCAUCUGAGAACCUGCUAUACAUUGUGCAACAUGUUAAAAUCAAUUAAGUAGAUACGGAACUUCUUUUGAUGGGCGGACUGGAAUUAAGUGGGAAAUAAAAUUGGGAAAAGACUCUUAGCAAGUGAAAGUGGAGAUGGCAACUAAAAGUUUACAGGUAAGCAAACUUCAUUCUUGAAAGUAAGGGCAAGGAGCUGCUUUUCUACCUUGAGAUAGUUGUGCUGUUACGUAACUAACUAAAUUAGCAUAACUAACAACCUGCUUU